This 213-nucleotide ribosomal RNA is filed under the name uncultured bacterium. RNAcentral describes it as "partial 16S ribosomal RNA". It matches the Rfam family "Bacterial small subunit ribosomal RNA", at positions 524 to 729 of the family's 1533-position model. The record is from RNAcentral.
UACGUAGGGUGCAGGCGUUAAUCGGAAUUACUGGGCGUAAAGCGUGCACAGGCGGCUUUGCAAGACAGAUGUGAAAAUCCCCGGGCGUCAACCUACGGGAACGUAGCAUUUGUUGACUGCAAGGCUGGAGUGCGGCAGAGGGGGAGUGAAUUCCGCGUGUAGCAGUGAAAUGCGUAGAUAUGCGGAGGAACACCGAUGGCGAAGGCAAUCCCC